This 497-nucleotide ribosomal RNA is filed under the name uncultured bacterium. RNAcentral describes it as "partial 16S ribosomal RNA". It matches the Rfam family "Bacterial small subunit ribosomal RNA", at positions 28 to 507 of the family's 1533-position model. The record is from RNAcentral.
GAUGAACGCUGGCGGCGUGCCUAAUACAUGCAAGUCGAGCGAACAGACGAGGAGCUUGCUCCUCUGACGUUAGCGGCGGACGGGUGAGUAACACGUGGAUAACCUACCUAUAAGACUGGGAUAACUUCGGGAAACCGGAGCUAAUACCGGAUAAUAUAUUGAACCGCAUGGUUCAAUAGUGAAAGACGGUUUUGCUGUCACUUAUAGAUGGAUCCGCGCCGCAUUAGCUAGUUGGUAAGGUAACGGCUUACCAAGGCAACGAUGCGUAGCCGACCUGAGAGGCUUAGCGGGCGCACUGGAAGGGAGACAAGGACCAGCCGCGUAGGGGAGGCAGAAGUAGGGAAUAUUCGGCGAGGGGGGAAAGAGUUAAGGAUGAAAGCCGCUCGAGUGAGAAGGGUCAUAGGAGCGGAAAACACUCUUCCGAGGGAAGAACAAAUGUGUAACUAACCAUGCAAGUAGUGACGUCCCCGAAGCAGAAAGGAACGGCGAACAACGUG